GAAGCAUAUUAUCUGUGAAAGGGUACCUUAUAAUAUUAAGAGUCUUAUAAUAAAUGAAUAAUUUAAUUAGAGCAAUAAAAUAUUCAAGUUGUUGAACCAAUUUACAUUUUCUCAGAAUACCUGAUAUUUUUGUAAGAAUAACAUAGAUUUCUACCAAUGAAAAAAACCCACCCCAGAAUGAAAAAAUAAUAAUGUAUGGGUAAGCUCUAUAUGUUUUGUCGUUAUUUAUGUAUAUAUUAUAAGAAAUAUAAGUAUGUAUAUUUAUGUAUGUAUGUAUUAUGUAUGUAUGGUAUGUUAUUGUAUUAUAUUUGGUUGUUGUUGUUAAAGUAGCACCGCCCACAAUCUCUCUGCUUUGCCUAAAGGUUGACUGUUAGAGAAUGCCUCAUGGCAUUAAGUCCGCCUUUUGUACGAUAAGGUUUUGUUUUGUGCAAUAAAGAUUAAAUAAAUAAAACAUAGUGUCAUUCCAAGCAACACAUGAGCAAUCACGUGAUAAAACCGUGAGCAUCUACAUGUGUUAAAACAUUUUUAGUGAUACGCCGAAUGCAUAGAGAAAUUCGUUCUUGUUAUAGGAAAGAGGGCCUCUCGCGCGGUGUACAUAUUUUAUUGACCCCGCGCACUACACAUGAGCGGCGAGCGUGAGAUGAAUCCGGAAAUAUGAGAGAUGCUGGGAUAUUUUCGCAAGUUACUACAAGAGGUUGGAUUUCUUUGAUGGCUGACUCAGGUGGGAAGGAAAGUGAAGACAUAAUAACACCCUGCUGAGCAACUUUAAACCAAUACGCAUCGACUCAACAUUCAUACUUAUUUAUUACCUAUAAGAUAUUAUGUAGCUGGAAAAUAAUUAAAAAUCGAAAAAUGUAAUCAAGUGUUGCAAGGUUAUGUUCUAUAAAAAUUGCCUACAUUUUAUACCGUCAAUGAAAAUCGCCAUAAAUAAGUAUGACACUUACCUACUUAUUACCAAGGUGAUUAACAGGUACAUAAUAAAAAUAAUUAACUAUUUUAAGUGGCGCAAUUAAAUAGCUACUAAGUACGUACGUUAUAAACGUUUAUCAAUUUUGCACAAAUAAAAUGUACUCGUAAAGGUACUACUGCGGUAUCUACCCAAUGAAUGUUUUAGAACGUAUAAUGCUUGGUAAUAUUAAUAAAAUAUACAGUU
Cydia pomonella (codling moth) is the source of this 1153-nucleotide long non-coding RNA. RefSeq lists it as uncharacterized. The transcript has 2 exons. The record is from RefSeq and is a predicted model, not a curated record. Lineage: Eukaryota; Metazoa; Arthropoda; Insecta; Lepidoptera; Tortricidae.